This 2917-nucleotide ribosomal RNA is filed under the name Staphylococcus arlettae. RNAcentral describes it as "23S ribosomal RNA". It matches the Rfam family "Bacterial large subunit ribosomal RNA". Lineage: Bacteria; Bacillati; Bacillota; Bacilli; Caryophanales; Staphylococcaceae. The record is from RNAcentral.
GAUUAAGUUAUUAAGGGCGCACGGUGGAUGCCUUGGCACUAGAAGCCGAUGAAGGACGUUACUAACGACGAUAUGCUUUGGGGAGCUGUAAGUAAGCUGUAAUCCAGAGAUUUCCGAAUGGGGAAACCCAGCACGAGUUAUGUCGUGUUAUCGACAUGUGAAUAUAUAUCAUGUCUGAAGGCAUACCCGGAGAACUGAAACAUCUUAGUACCCGGAGGAAGAGAAAGAAAAAUCGAUUCCCUGAGUAGCGGCGAGCGAAACGGGAAGAGCCCAAACCAAUAAGCUUGCUUAUUGGGGUUGUAGGACACUCUAUACGGAGUUACAAAUGUAUAAAUUAGACGAAUUAUCUGGAAAGAUAAAUCAAAGAAGGUAAUAAUCCUGUAGUCGAAAAUUUAUACACUCUUGAGUGGAUCCUGAGUACGACGGAGCACGUGGAAUUCCGUCGGAAUCCGGGAGGACCAUCUCCCAAGGCUAAAUACUCUCUAGUGACCGAUAGUGAACCAGUACCGUGAGGGAAAGGUGAAAAGUACCCGGAAGGGGAGUGAAAGAGAACUUGAAACCGUGUGCUUACAAGUAGUCAGAGCCCGUUAAUGGGUGAUGGCGUGCCUUUUGUAGAAUGAACCGGCGAGUUACGAUCUGAUGCAAGGUUAAGCAGCAAAUGUGGAGCCGCAGCGAAAGCGAGUCUGAAUAGGGCGUUGAGUAUUUGGUCGUAGACCCGAAACCAGGUGAUCUACCCAUGACCAGGCUGAAGUUCAGGUAACACUGAAUGGAGGGCCGAACCGACUUACGUUGAAAAGUGAGCGGAUGAGUUGUGGGUAGCGGAGAAAUUCCAAUCGAACCUGGAGAUAGCUGGUUCUCUCCGAAAUAGCUUUAGGGCUAGCCUCAAGUGAUGAUUAUUGGAGGUAGAGCACUGUUUGGACGAGGGGCCCUUCUCGGGUUACCGAAUUCAGACAAACUCCGAAUGCCAAUCAAUUUAACUUGGGAGUCAGAACAUGGGUGAUAAGGUCCGUGUUCGAAAGGGAAACAGCCCAGACCACCAGCUAAGGUCCCAAAAUAUAUGUUAAGUGGAAAAGGAUGUGGCGUUGCCCAGACAACUAGGAUGUUGGCUUAGAAGCAGCCAUCAUUUAAAGAGUGCGUAAUAGCUCACUAGUCGAGUGACACUGCGCCGAAAAUGUACCGGGGCUAAACAUAUUACCGAAGCUGUGGAUUGUCCGUAGGACAAUGGUAGGAGAGCGUUCUAAGGGCGUUGAAGCAUGAUCGCAAGGACAUGUGGAGCGCUUAGAAGUGAGAAUGCCGGUGUGAGUAGCGAAAGACGGGUGAGAAUCCCGUCCACCGAUUGACUAAGGUUUCCAGAGGAAGGCUCGUCCGCUCUGGGUUAGUCGGGACCUAAGCUGAGGCCGAAAGGCGUAGGCGAUGGACAACAGGUUGAUAUUCCUGUACCACCUCAAUUCGUUUUAAGCGAUGGGGGACGCAGUAGGAUAGGCGAAGCGUACGAUUGGAUUGUACGUCCAAGCAGUAAGACUGAGUAUUAGGCAAAUCCGGUACUCGUAAGGUCAAGCUGUGAUGGGGAGAGGGAUUUAUUCCUCGAGUCGUUGAUUUCACACUGCCAAGAAAAUCCUCUAGCUAGAAUUAUGGUGCCCGUACCGCAAACCGACACAGGUAGUCAAGAUGAGAAUUCUAAGGUGAGCGAGCGAACUCUCGUUAAGGAACUCGGCAAAAUGACCCCGUAACUUCGGGAGAAGGGGUGCUUUCUAGGGUUCACGCCCAGGAAAGCCGCAGUGAAUAGGCCCAAGCGACUGUUUAUCAAAAACACAGGUCUCUGCUAAACCGUAAGGUGAUGUAUAGGGGCUGACGCCUGCCCGGUGCUGGAAGGUUAAGAGGAGUGGUUAGCUUCUGCGAAGCUACGAAUCGAAGCCCCAGUAAACGGCGGCCGUAACUAUAACGGUCCUAAGGUAGCGAAAUUCCUUGUCGGGUAAGUUCCGACCCGCACGAAAGGCGUAACGAUUUGGGCACUGUCUCAACGAGAGACUCGGUGAAAUCAUAGUACCUGUGAAGAUGCAGGUUACCCGCGACAGGACGGAAAGACCCCGUGGAGCUUUACUGUAGUCUGAUAUUGAAAUUCGGCACAGCUUGUACAGGAUAGGUAGGAGCCUUUGAUACGUGAGCGCUAGCUUACGUGGAGGCGUUGGUGGGAUACUACCCUCGCUGUGUUGGAUUUCUAACCCGCACCAUUGAUCAUGGUGGGAGACAGUGUCAGAUGGACAGUUUGACUGGGGCGGUCGCCUCCUAAAGAGUAACGGAGGCGCUCAAAGGUUCCCUCAGAAUGGUUGGAAAUCAUUCACAGAGUGUAAAGGCAUAAGGGAGCUUGACUGCGAGACUUACAAGUCGAGCAGGGUCGAAGACGGACUUAGUGAUCCGGUGGUUCCGCAUGGAAGGGCCAUCGCUCAACGGAUAAAAGCUACCCCGGGGAUAACAGGCUUAUCUCCCCCAAGAGUUCACAUCGACGGGGAGGUUUGGCACCUCGAUGUCGGCUCAUCGCAUCCUGGGGCUGUAGUCGGUCCCAAGGGUUGGGCUGUUCGCCCAUUAAAGCGGUACGCGAGCUGGGUUCAGAACGUCGUGAGACAGUUCGGUCCCUAUCCGUCGUGGGCGUAGGAAAUUUGAGAGGAGCUGUCCUUAGUACGAGAGGACCGGGAUGGACAUACCUCUGGUGUACCAGUUGUCGUGCCAACGGCAUCGCUGGGUAGCUAUGUAUGGACGGGAUAAGUGCUGAAAGCAUCUAAGCAUGAAGCCCCCCUCAAGAUGAGAUUUCCCAACUUCGGUUAUAAGAUCCUCAAAGAUGAUGAGGUUAAUAGGUUCGAGGUGGAAGCAUAGUGAUAUGUGGAGCUGACGAAUACUAAUCGAUCGAAGACUUAAUCAA